This 74-nucleotide transfer RNA is filed under the name Parcubacteria group bacterium ADurb.Bin305. RNAcentral's name for it is "tRNA-Trp". It matches the Rfam family "tRNA". From Rfam's summary of the family: Transfer RNA (tRNA) molecules are approximately 80 nucleotides in length. Their secondary structure includes four short double-helical elements and three loops (D, anti-codon, and T loops). The record is from RNAcentral.
AGGGGCGUAGCUCAAUUGGUAGAGUAGCGGUCUCCAAAACCGUUGGUUGCAGGUUCGAGCCCUGCCGCCCCUGC